GUGUUAUAUAAAGGAAAAAGUUAGCACUCCUUUUGCUAAAGAUGGAAGAGAGGUUAGUUGCCUUUCAUAUACAUGCUAUGGUUAAGAGUUGCCUCUUUCUCUGAUCCACCCAAUCAAUUCCUUCU
This is a small nuclear RNA of Gracilinanus agilis (Agile Gracile Mouse Opossum), 125 nucleotides long. NCBI's taxonomy places the organism in Eukaryota, Metazoa, Chordata, Mammalia, Didelphimorphia, Didelphidae. The record is from RefSeq and is a predicted model, not a curated record.